This 274-nucleotide ribosomal RNA is filed under the name uncultured bacterium. RNAcentral describes it as "partial 16S ribosomal RNA". It matches the Rfam family "Bacterial small subunit ribosomal RNA", at positions 523 to 796 of the family's 1533-position model. The record is from RNAcentral.
AUACGGAGGGUGCGAACGUUAAUCGGAAUUACUGGGCGUAAAGCGCGCGUAGGCGGUUCGGUAAGUGGGAUGUGAAAGCCCUGGGCUCAACCUGGGAACUGCAUUCCAAACUGCCGGGCUAGAGUAUGGUAGAGGGAGGUAGAAUUUCCUGUGUAGCGGUGAAAUGCGUAGAUAUAGGAAGGAAUACCGAUGGCGAAGGCAGCCUCCUGGGCCAAUACUGACGCUGAGGUGCGAAAGCGUGGGGAGCAAACAGGAUUAGAAACCCCGGUAGUCC